GCAGUUGUGGCCUACUGGUUAGGGAGUCAGACUUGUAACCUGAAGGUGAACCUGAAGGUCAUGGGUUUGAAUCUCAGGCCCGGCA
Pangasius djambal is the source of this 85-nucleotide non-coding RNA. The record is from the annotation of a GenBank genome assembly. NCBI's taxonomy places the organism in Eukaryota, Metazoa, Chordata, Actinopteri, Siluriformes, Pangasiidae.